ACGGGAGGCAGCAGUGGGGGAUAUUGCACAAUGGGGGAAACCCUGGUGCAGCGACGCCGCGUGAGUGAAGAAGUAUUUCGGUAUGUAAAGCUCUAUCAGCAGGAAAGAAAAUGACGGUACCUGACUAAGAAGCCCCGGCUAACUACGUGCCAGCAGCCGCGGUAAUACGUAGGGGGCGAGCGUUGUCCGGAAUGACUGGGCGUAAAGGGCGUGUAGGCGGCCGAUUAAGUCUGGAGUGAAAGUCCUGUUUUCAAGAUGGGAAUUGCUUUGGAUACUGGUUGGCUAGAGUGCGGAAGAGGUAAGUGGAAUUCCCAGUGUAGCGGUGAAAUGCGUAGAGAUUGGGAGGAACACCAGUGGCGAAGGCGACUUACUGGGCCGUAACUGACGCUGAGGCGCGAAAGCGUGGGGAGCGAACAGGAUUAGAUACCCUGGUA
RNAcentral lists this ribosomal RNA (434 nucleotides) under uncultured Clostridium sp. RNAcentral describes it as "partial 16S ribosomal RNA". It matches the Rfam family "Bacterial small subunit ribosomal RNA", at positions 341 to 792 of the family's 1533-position model. Lineage: Bacteria; Bacillati; Bacillota; Clostridia; Eubacteriales; Clostridiaceae. The record is from RNAcentral.